Molecule: RNA transcript, 952 nt
Organism: Daucus carota subsp. sativus
Lineage: Eukaryota; Viridiplantae; Streptophyta; Magnoliopsida; Apiales; Apiaceae
Exons: 2
Source: RefSeq, a predicted model, not a curated record
UGGAAAUAUAAAGUAUUAAAAUAUAUACAUAUGUUUAUUGUGAAAGAUAGAGAGGGUGGGGUUGGAUGUGAAUGCCAAAUCUUAGUACAUACAGACACUCUUCUCUCUCUAAAACACUGUUUGCUCUCUCUCUCUCAAAUCCAGAUUUCAGAAGAACAACUGAGUCUUUAAACAUAUCUUAGAUUGGUUUCAAGCCCUCAUCUUCUUUCUCUCCUGGACAAAUGUUCCCAGAUUUUUAAGGAGUGUUCUUGAUCUGAAACUUAUCUCAUUCACUAGUCCAUCACUGAGACACAAAUGGAAGGGGAUACAUUCUCGGGCCUACGGAACGCUAAUCAAGUAGAUGGCAAGGUAGUCCAGACAUUUCAAAAGAGUUUUGGUCAAGUUCAAAACAUCUUGGAUCAAAACAGGCUCUUAAUCAAUGAGAUUAAUCAGAAUCACGAAUCAAAAGUUCCUGAUAAUUUGAGCCGGAAUGUCGGUUUAAUCAGAGAGCUGAAUAACAACAUAAGGAGGGUGGUUGAUCUGUAUUCCGAUCUUUCCAGCAAUGUUAGCAAAUCUGUGGAUUCAUCCGACGGAGAUUCAAGUGGCGGUUUGAGGUCUGAUAGCAAAGGCACUAACAAACGAAAUAGGCCUGUCUAAAAGCUUUCUGUUGUUAAUGUUGUAACCGGUGGAAGGGAAAUGAUAAAAUGCACAAUUUUCUCGAGGUACUGGGAUAUUAUGUGAUUACAUUGUGCAACAGUUUUCUUCCUUGAUGGACUUUCUAGUCUUUUCUUUAGUAACAUUUCUCACUGAAAUAAUCGCUCUAGUCUGUCCUAUUGCAUAUCUGUAAUAUGGUUCUAAUUGAAAGUCAGUCAUGUUUUUAAAUCAGUUUCAGGCUUCUUUAUGUUCUUUAUAAUGUAUCUGAUGAACAACAAGGACGUAAUUAUCAGAAAAGGUAAUCCAUUAAAUUUCUCCA